CUAAUGUCUGCCCGUCACGGCUGCCCGGUUCCGACCGGGCAAGGGAAUCCGGUGACGCAUCGCAAGGUGCGGAAUCCGGAGCUGCCCCCGCAACUGUAAUCGGUGAGUCUUGCGCUUUUCCAUGCCACUGGACGAAUGUCCGGGAAGGCCGGCGCAGGACGACGACCCGAGAGCCAGGAGACCUGCCGCGACGCUUCCCUUAAC
This 204-nucleotide non-coding RNA is filed under the name Thauera sp. Lineage: Bacteria; Pseudomonadati; Pseudomonadota; Betaproteobacteria; Rhodocyclales; Zoogloeaceae. The record is from RNAcentral.